Molecule: non-coding RNA, 26 nt
Filed under: Mus musculus (house mouse)
Lineage: Eukaryota; Metazoa; Chordata; Mammalia; Rodentia; Muridae
Source: RNAcentral
GAGGUGAGAAAUCCGAUGUCUACAAG